Molecule: long non-coding RNA, 844 nt
Organism: Pipra filicauda (Wire-tailed manakin)
Lineage: Eukaryota; Metazoa; Chordata; Aves; Passeriformes; Pipridae
Exons: 4
Source: RefSeq, a predicted model, not a curated record
GGUAUAAAUAAGGCAUUGAUAAGAUAGUUCGCUCUCUUCUCUUCUGGGGAGGUUGGAGAACGGUGGUCCCUGUCUGGGCCUGGCUUAUCUGGAGCUGAGGCCUACAGUAACUGCUGUUAUCGGCCACGCGUGAGGGGGGAGUGCUGGGCUGUGUCCAGACGUACUGCUUUCUUUCAAGGGAAGUGAUCAAGAAGACUUUUUUCCAUUUGAGAACGCAAUAUUUCUGACCAGGUACAUGAAGAACCUACAGCAAAAAACACAACACAGUUCAAGCAUUUCCUGCUUAUAAAAGGCGAAUACAGAUGUCAGGAAAGACCCCUCUUCUAUGAACUGUUCCUGGCAAAUAAUGUGAUCAAAUGGCCAUCUAUAGAAUAUUCAUGAAGGUAUGAUGACAGGCAUUUGAACAUAUUUCAAGAAGAACAAUGAGUAAUAAAUAUCAAAGGACAGUUCCUAUUUUAAGCAAAUUGCCGGUUACCAAUGAGUUCUGUGAACUAUGGAUCCUAACAGAGAAUGGAAUUUCAGAAUGAAAAACACAGCAAGAAAAUAAAUGCUGACCACCACACAGCCUGAGUGUCUGGAUGCCAGGGAUACUCUGAAACAGAUAUUUUGAGAUCUUCCUUGGUAUAUCAAACAGAGAAGCUCCAAAAGAGUCUAAUUAUGUUAAAUCAUCCUAUCCUAUGUGGAUACAGAGAUAGAAGCAAAAAACGACCUUCUGCCACUCUGUUUUGCAGACCUGAUGCUGCUUUUUCCUUUGCUGAAAAUUUGCAUGUUUUCUCAGAGCCUGUUUCUUUCUCACAAUAAACAAUGCAAAGCCUUCCUGCCAAAAAAAUGUCCAAAUGCUAAA